GAUUUUAGCAUGGAAUAAUGGAAUAGGACGUGUGGUUCUAUUUUGUUGGUUUCUAGGACCGCCGUAAUGAUUAAUAGGGACAGUCGGAGGCAUCAGUAUUCAAUUGUCAGAGGUGAAAUUCUUGGAUUUAUUGAAGACUAACUACUGCAAAAGCAUUUGCCAAGGAUGUUUUCAUUAAUCAGGAACGAAAGUUAGGGGAUCGAAGACGAUCAGAUACCGUCGUAGUCUUAACCAUAAACUAUGCCGAUUAGGGAUCGGACGGUGUUAUAUUUUGACCCGUUCGGCACCUUACGAGAAAUCAAAGUGCUUGGGCUCCAGGGGGAGUAUGGUCGCAAGGCUGAAGCUUAAAGAAAUUGACGGAAGGGCACCACCAGGGGUGGAGCCUGCGGCUUAAUUUGACUCAACACGGGGAAACUCACCAGGUCCAGACACAAUGAGGAUUGACAGAUUGAGAGCUCUUUCUUGAUUUUGUGGGUGGUGGUGCAUGGCCGUUCUUAGUUGGUGGAGUGAUUUGUCUGCUUAAUUGCGAUAACGAACGAGACCUUAACCUGCUAAAUAGCCCGUAUUGCUUUGGCAGUACGCUGGCUUCUUAGAGGGACUAUCGGCUCAAGCCGAUGGAAGUUUGAGGCAAUAACAGGUCUGUGAUGCCCUUAGAUGUUCUGGGCCGCACGCGCGCUACACUGACGGAGCCAGCGAGUACUUCCUUGGCCGAAAGGCCCGGGUAAUCUUGUUAAACUCCGUCGUGCUGGGGAUAGAGCAUUGCAAU
RNAcentral lists this ribosomal RNA (766 nucleotides) under uncultured fungus. RNAcentral describes it as "SSU rRNA". It matches the Rfam family "Eukaryotic small subunit ribosomal RNA", at positions 800 to 1590 of the family's 1831-position model. Lineage: Eukaryota; Fungi. The record is from RNAcentral.